RNAcentral lists this unclassified non-coding RNA (340 nucleotides) under soil metagenome. RNAcentral describes it as "partial contains 5.8S ribosomal RNA, internal transcribed spacer 2, and large subunit ribosomal RNA". The stretch from base 1 to 120 matches the Rfam family "5.8S ribosomal RNA", at positions 35 to 154 of the family's 154-position model. The record is from RNAcentral.
GAUGAAGAACGUAGCGAAAUGCGAUAAGUAAUGUGAAUUGCAGAGUUCAGUGAAUCAUCGAAUCUUUGAACGCACAUUGCGCCCGUCAGUAUUCUGACGGGCAUGCCUGUCCGAGCGUCAUUUCAACCCUCAAGCACUGCUUGGCGUUGGCGGAUUGCGUGCUCUCGCGGCGCUGCAACCGCCCAAAUACAGUGGCGGUCCCGCUGCGGCUCCCUUUGCGUAGUAACUCACCUCGCACUGGACCGGGCGGCGGCCUGCCGUAAAACCCCAACUCACGAAAUGUUGACCUCGGAUCAGGUAGGAAUACCCGCUGAACUUAAGCAUAUCAAUAAGCGGAGGA